Molecule: long non-coding RNA, 406 nt
Organism: Paramormyrops kingsleyae
Lineage: Eukaryota; Metazoa; Chordata; Actinopteri; Osteoglossiformes; Mormyridae
Source: RefSeq, a predicted model, not a curated record
CGACAGAGUGUCCCCACAAAGGGAUCUUCUGUUGCUCCUUGUCUGUACGUGUUCCCAGCCAGCCACUGGAAGCCUCGGUCCUGUAUCAACUUGCUGGGAAGCAAUGCCAUGGAGCCCCGUGCAGACACUGGACACAAUCUCAAAAUCCCCGCCAGGACAAUCUCAAACAGAUUUCUCCUCUCCAAAUCAAACGUUGCAUUGGACAUAUGGAUCAUUGAUUUCUACUUCCAGAACAGCACACGAAGUCUGAUGUGCCUGGGCAGAGGAAUCGGCAUGGAGGCCGUCCACAGCAGCCCCCAGACCCACACGUCAUCACACCUCAUGGGGCUUCGUCGUCAUGUGUCCUAAAAGAGUGACUGAUGGGUCAACACCAGGUCCGUGAAGUAACUCCGCAAGCGACUCCGCC